This 429-nucleotide ribosomal RNA is filed under the name Fusobacteriota bacterium. RNAcentral describes it as "Fusobacteria bacterium partial 16S ribosomal RNA". It matches the Rfam family "Bacterial small subunit ribosomal RNA", at positions 355 to 776 of the family's 1533-position model. The record is from RNAcentral. Lineage: Bacteria; Fusobacteriati; Fusobacteriota.
UGGGGAAUCUCCCGCAAUGGACGAAAGUCUGACGGAGCAACGCCGCGUGAGUGAAGACGGCCUUCGGGUUGUAAAGCUCUGUGAUCCGGGACGAAAGAGCCUGAGGUGAAUAGCCUAAGGAAGUGACGGUACCGGAAAAGCAAGCCACGGCUAACUACGUGCCAGCAGCCGCGGUAAUACGUAGGUGGCAAGCGUUGUCCGGAAUUAUUGGGCGUAAAGCGCGCGCAGGCGGCUUCCUAAGUCCAUCUUAAAAGUGCGGGGCUUAACCCCGUGAUGGGAUGGAAACUGGGAAGCUGGAGUAUCGGAGAGGAAAGUGGAAUUCCUAGUGUAGCGGUGAAAUGCGUAGAGAUUAGGAAGAACACCGGUGGCGAAGGCGACUUUCUGGACGAAAACUGACGCUGAGGCGCGAAAGCGUGGGGAGCAAACAGG